GCAUUGGUGGUUCAGUGGUAGAAUUCUCACUUUCCAUGAAGGAGGCCUGGGUUCGAUCCCCAGCCAGUGCA
This is a transfer RNA of Loxodonta africana (African savanna elephant), 71 nucleotides long. It matches the Rfam family "tRNA". From Rfam's summary of the family: Transfer RNA (tRNA) molecules are approximately 80 nucleotides in length. Their secondary structure includes four short double-helical elements and three loops (D, anti-codon, and T loops). The record is from Rfam. NCBI's taxonomy places the organism in Eukaryota, Metazoa, Chordata, Mammalia, Proboscidea, Elephantidae.